UCCGUUUGGUGGGUGGGGGAGUACGGCCGGCACGCCCGGGUAAUACCGCAUACGGUUGCCGAGGGGAGUCCCUUGGCAAAGAAACCUCCGGGGCACAGAGAGGGGCUCGCGGCCUAUCAGCUAGUUGGUGAGGUAAUGGCUCACCAAGGCGACGACGGGUAGCUGGUCUGAGAGGAUGGCCAGCCACAUUGGGACUGAGAUACGGCCCAG
RNAcentral lists this ribosomal RNA (210 nucleotides) under uncultured bacterium. RNAcentral describes it as "partial 16S ribosomal RNA". It matches the Rfam family "Bacterial small subunit ribosomal RNA", at positions 124 to 334 of the family's 1533-position model. The record is from RNAcentral.